AAUGUUGUGCCUGAUAAAAGGAUUACCAUGAUAGGGUAAAUAAUGUAAUAAUAUUAAUGUUAUCUUCAUUA
Molecule: transfer RNA, 71 nt
Filed under: Sorineuchora bivitta
Lineage: Eukaryota; Metazoa; Arthropoda; Insecta; Blattodea; Pseudophyllodromiidae
Description: tRNA-Ile
Source: RNAcentral